Acanthosepion pharaonis is the source of this 113-nucleotide non-coding RNA. Lineage: Eukaryota; Metazoa; Mollusca; Cephalopoda; Sepiida; Sepiidae. The record is from the annotation of a GenBank genome assembly.
UAUGGCCAUAUCGUAUUGAAACACAGGUUCCCAUACAAUCACCAAAGUUAAGCAACAUCAAGCAUGGUCAGUAUCCAGAUGGGUGACUGUUUGGGAAUACCAGGUGCUGUAAG